AUUGAACGCUGGCGGAAUGCUUUACACAUGCAAGUCGAACGGCAGCACGGACUUCGGUCUGGUGGCGAGUGGCGAACGGGUGAGUAAUGUAUCGGAACGUGCCCAGUCGUGGGGGAUAACGUAGUGAAAAUUACGCUAAUACCGCAUACGAUCUAUGGAUGAAAGCGGGGGAUCGCAAGACCUCGCGCGAUUGGAGCGGCCGAUAUCAGAUUAGGUAGUUGGUGGGGUAAAGGCCCACCAAGCCAACGAUCUGUAGCUGGUCUGAGAGGACGGCCAGCCACACUGGAACUGAGACACGGUCCAGACUCCUACGGGAGGCAGCAGUGGGGAAUUUCGGACAAUGGGCGAAAGCCUGAUCCAGCCAUUCCGCGUGCAGGAUGAAGGCCCUCGGGUUGUAAACUGCUUUUGUACAGAACGAAAAGGUUUCUACUAAUACUAGGAGCUCAUGACGGUACUGUAAGAAUAAGCACCGGCUAACUACGUGCCAGCAGCCGCCGUAA
Molecule: ribosomal RNA, 500 nt
Filed under: uncultured bacterium
Lineage: Bacteria
Description: partial 16S ribosomal RNA
Rfam family: Bacterial small subunit ribosomal RNA
Source: RNAcentral